UUUAUCCGUCCUAAACUCGGAGAAUCUCCCAGAUAUUUAUCCGUCCUAAACUUGGAGAGCUGAUGAAUUGUAAAUUUGCUGCAUCAGAUUGGAAAUUGCAGGUAUCCACCCAUCGCUACAGUUUCAUAGUUCGUCACGUUGACCUCAUCUAAAUUGGAGAGAUACAAAUCGCUACAUAUGAUGAGAUCUAAAAGCCGCCUAGAUUGGAGAGCUACAGAUGAAGGAAAAAUUCACAUCAGCUGUAAAUCACCUAAAUUUUCAACUCAAGCUCUAUCAGAUGCAUCAAUUUUUGCUAAAAAGACCCAUAUUGGCGUGUCGUCUAACGUAUGUCUUCUUACCCUUUCAUCCUCUCUUUGUCCAAAUAAUUGUUUGUGUUGCUUGUUUCCUCUUUUUGUCCAAAUAAUUGCAUGUGUUGCUUGUUUUGUGCUGAGGUAGGUAUUGUGUAGACUCCGAUGCUUGUUCCAAUUUUUGCACUUUUUUUUUUAUUUUCUAUGUUUAUAUUAAAUAAAAUGAUUUUAUGGCAUAUCCAAUCUUUAAAAAUUAGUUAAAAUUCUUUUGGACUCAAUUUGUAUUUUAUAGUUCAAGAAAAUAAUAUAAGAAUCUGCUUUAUUUUUUGUAAAAAUAGUCCAAAUAAAAAAAAUUGCCGCUAAAAUAAUCCACCUCCCAAAAAUAUAGAGCUAUACUCGCGCCAUUAUUCAGUUUUUUUCUUUCUCCAAAUGUUGCCCACGUUCACACUUCAUGUAAAAAAAAAUUCCAAAUACAGUCACCUGCAAUUCAUCUACCACGUUUGAAUUAUCAGUUCCUCAAUCCUUUCGGCUAAACAGUAUGUAUUCUUUAUCAUAUUUAUUUUCCUAUUUUGUAUGAUUUGAUUAAUUGUACCACGUUUGAAUUAUCAGUUCCUCAAUCCUUUCGGCUAAACAGUAUGUAUUCUUUAUCAUAUUUAUUUUCCUAUUUUGUAUGAUUUGAUUAAUUGUAAUUCUUCUGACAUAUUUAUUUUCUGGAAUAAAUAAGAUCGAAUAUACACAUCUGUUUUUGAAUUCCCUUGAUAAGAGGAUUUGCCUAAUUAAGAUAGUUGUGAGGUUGGUUUGCAUGUUUCUUCUCCCAACCUGAAAAAGCUAUAAAUCAAUAGGGCUAACAACAUAAUACUUCUCAUUACCUUCAUAUGUUGAGUUACAUGUUUUACGAAGUUUUGAUUAAACUAACCUACUAAAAAAGAAAGAAAAGAAGCUUGAGUCGAAUUAUUUGUCCUUCUAGCUUGAUUAUAAAUUGCACCCUUUUAACUAUUCAAAGAUUUUAUAAUUGCAAUGCUAUAAAAUUAGUUGCAUCUACAUAUGUUUUCUUUUACUGUUUUAAGAUUUUUUAAGUUGACAGAGUCAAAUAUUUCAGUUUUCAAUAUUUAGGAAUGAUAUCAGUUAGCUAUUUAUUUGAAUAGGACUUUGUUGGAGUUAUUUUAGGAGAAAAGGUUAUUAUUUAGUUAAUGUAUACAACCUACAUACCUACUGUAAAAAAGAGUUCCAGUUUAAAUUUCAAACAAAUAACAUUCUUCUCUGUUUCAUUUUCUGUCAUACUGUAAAUUUCUUCUUUUCAAUUCUCUGUGAGCUUUUAUUUCACUAUUUGCCCUUCUCACAUUAUCAGAAAAGAAGUUUAUAAGUAAAAUGAGUUCAAAUCGUCAAUGGAUGUACAAAAGAUUAACCAAAGGUCUAUAUGAUCCUGAAUUCUUAAGAGGUGUACAAUAAUUUAUUGAGUUCGCUAUGAGUCAUCCAGAAGGAAGGGAUGGUGAGAGAUUAAGGUGCCCAUGUAACCGAUAGAAAUGUCAGAAUAGAAACUUUGAAAAUGUUCAUACUGUCCAUGGGCAUUUAUUAAAAGAAGGUUUUGUACCGGGAUAUCAUGUAUGGUAUUUGCAUGGAGAAAGUGAAGUUGCAGAAACUAUAGAUCAAGAUGAAAGAAUGCACAACUGGGAACAUACUAUGAAUAACCUACCGGUUGAUGUUAGUGAAUUUGAUGAUCCUGGACCUAGUACGUCUUAUCAUAGAAUGGUUCAUGAGGCUGCUAGUCCCGCAUUUGUUCCAGAUGAUAUGGAGGAAUUACCUAAUCCUGAUGCCCAACAUUUUUAUGAUAUGCUUGAUUCUGCAAAUCAAGAAGUAUGGCCUGGUUGUGAAACACACUCAAAAUUAUCAGUUGUUGCUUGUUUGUUGCAUAUCAAGGCUGAACAUCACCUCUCUGAAAGAUGUUUUGAUGAUAUUUGUCAAUAUGUGAAUGAGAUGAUUCCGCCUGAUAAUGUGAUGCCAAAAACAUUCUAUGAAACUAAAAAGUUAAUGAGGGGAAUGAACAUGCCAGUUGAAAAAAUUCAUACUUGUGUCAAUGCCUGCAUGAUUUACUGGGGAGAGGAUAGUGAACUUGUAAAUUGCAAGUUUUGUAGUCAUCCCAGGUAUAAGCUUACAAGUCAAAGAUCUAUUUAGAAGAAAAAUCUUGUACCAUUCAAACAGAUGUAUUACUUUCCUUUUACUCCACGACUGCAACGAAUGUAUGCUUCCACAGCAACUGCUUCACACAUGCGAUGGCACGCUGAACAUGAAGUUGAGGAAGGUGUGAUGCGUCACUGUUCAAAUGCACCUGCAUGGAAGCAUUUUGAUAAGAUGCAUCCAUCUUUUUCAGAGGAAAGUCGUAAUGUUAGAUUGGGACUGUCCACUGAUGGGUUUCAGCCAUUUGGUCAAAUAGGAAAGCAAUAUUCAUCUUGGCCAAUAAUUGUGACACCAUACAACUUACCUCCUUGGAUGUGUAUGAAAGAUACAUAUUUAUUUUUAUCUAUUAUAGUUUCUGGACCAAAGAAUCCUAAGCAGCAACUAGAUGUCUUCUUGCUGCCUUUGAUUGCUGAGUUGAAGAACCUAUGGAAUGUAGGUGUCAACACAUAUGAUAUCUCUAAGAAGCAAAAUUUUCAAAUGCGAGCUGCUUUGAUGUGGACAAUAAGUGACUUUCCUGCAUAUUCGAUGUUGUCUGGAUGGAGUACUGCAGGCAGGCUAGCAUGUCCAUAUUGUAUGGAGAAUUCUGAUGCUUUUACUUUGACAAAAGGUGGUAAGAAGUCCUGGUUUGACAACCACCGUAAGUUUCUGCCACUUAAUCAUCCAUACAGAAAGGAUAAGAACUCAUUUAGAAAGAACAGGGUAGUAACCAUGCUGCCUACCCCAUUAAGAUCAGGAGAAGAUGUCUUAAAAGAGAUAGAAGAACUAGGACUUAAAAAGGUAACAGAACUUGGGGCUGAUAUUAUUAAUAGUCAGAUUAGUAAGUUUUCUGGUUGGAAGAAGAGAAGCAUAUUCUGGGAUUUGCCAUAUUGGAGUACCAAUCUCAUUCGGCAUAAUCUAGAUGUAAUGCACAUUGAGAAGAACUUCUUUGAGAAUGUGUUCAACACAGUGCUGGAGGUAGAUGGUAAAACAAAAGAUAAUCCCAAAUCAAGAGAAGACUUGAAAGAGUUCUGUCGACGCCCUGAAUUACAUGCUGUUGAUGGGAAGUAUCCGAAAGCUAUUUACACACUGAAAGAAGAGUAAAAAAAAUUGUUGUGUGAAUGGGUGAAAAAUAUAAUGUUUCCUGAUGGAUAUGUCUCAAUUAUGGGAAGGUGUGUGGACAUGAAAAAACACAAGUUAUUCGGUAUGAAAAGUCACGAUUGUCAUGUAUUUAUGCAAAGAUUGGUACCUGUUGCAUUCCGUGAGCUAUUACCCAAAAAAGUGUGGGAAGCACUUACUGAGAUGAGCCUUUUCUUUAGGGAUAUCACUUCUACAGUAAUUCGUGAAGAGGAUAUGGUAAGACUACAACAAAAAAUACCUGAAAUACUUUGUAAAUUAGAGCGUGUAUUCCC
Molecule: long non-coding RNA, 3850 nt
Filed under: Solanum tuberosum (potato)
Lineage: Eukaryota; Viridiplantae; Streptophyta; Magnoliopsida; Solanales; Solanaceae
Description: long non-coding RNA (STUB_LNC009154)
Source: RNAcentral